UUGCAGCAGAAACUCAAACCCAGACAUGGCCCCUGGCAGCAGCUCAGGCCCAGAUGUCACCAUGGCCUAGGUGGCAGCACAGGCCACCCAGAUCAGUAUGGCCCACACAACAGUGUGGCCCUUGAACACCAACAUGGUCUCAGGUGGCAGCCCAGACCCCUGGCAUUGGCAUGGCCUUUGAUGGUAUCAGGAGCCACAGACAUGAACAUAGACCCUGGCUGCAGCAGAGCCACAGACCCAUGGCCUGGACAACACCAUGACCCCAGAUCUCAUUGGUUGGAGCAGGAUCCUGAUACGAGAUUCUGGAAUCCUUGAACACAUGAAAUCUAGCAUGAAACAGUGACUCCUGAGUUUAACUAGGAUUGCUUACAUGCGUAAAGGUGAGAAGCUACUUACUGGAACAAAUUUUCUACGUAUGUUCUCCGUAAUAAGAUUUGUUCUUAUUUGUUUGCCUCUGAGGGAAGAUGGCUUAGCGGAACUGAAGGAAUCUACUUAUGAGAAAGACUCGUGCCCCUAAGACGUCUGUAGCGUAUGAAA
Long non-coding RNA from Peromyscus eremicus (cactus mouse), 537 nucleotides. RefSeq lists it as uncharacterized. NCBI's taxonomy places the organism in Eukaryota, Metazoa, Chordata, Mammalia, Rodentia, Cricetidae. The record is from RefSeq and is a predicted model, not a curated record. The transcript has 3 exons.